GUGCUCACUUCCCCAGCACAUAUACUAAAAUUGGAACAAUACAGAGAAGAUUAGCAUGGCCCAUGUGUAAGGAUGAUAUGAAACAUUGAGAAAAGCUUCUCAAGAGA
Molecule: small nuclear RNA, 107 nt
Organism: Jaculus jaculus (lesser Egyptian jerboa)
Lineage: Eukaryota; Metazoa; Chordata; Mammalia; Rodentia; Dipodidae
Source: Ensembl